This 158-nucleotide transfer RNA is filed under the name Candidatus Woesearchaeota archaeon. Its description in RNAcentral is "tRNA-Ala". The stretch from base 1 to 58 matches the Rfam family "tRNA". Lineage: Archaea; Nanobdellati; Candidatus Woesearchaeota. The record is from RNAcentral.
GGGCUCGUAGCUCAGUCUGGUAGAGCAUCGCCCUUGCAAGGCGGGGGCCUCGGGUUCAAAACAACUGGUUACGCUCGGUUGACACGCAAAGUGCGGCGUGAAGCCACACGAGCUCACUAGUCGUUCGCGUGACCUUUGUGAAUUUCCCGACGAGUCCA